This 665-nucleotide ribosomal RNA is filed under the name uncultured fungus. Its description in RNAcentral is "eukaryotic LSU rRNA". The stretch from base 253 to 406 matches the Rfam family "5.8S ribosomal RNA". The record is from RNAcentral. Lineage: Eukaryota; Fungi.
CUUGGUCAUUUAGAGGAAGUAAAAGUCGUAACAAGGUUUCCGUAGGUGAACCUGCGGAAGGAUCAUUAGUGAAUGAGACCUCUGGUUUCAAACACCUGCUGCUUUCAGCUGUGCGCCUUUGGGCUUGCACGUUGGAUGUGGCAUAUUCACACACACCUGUGCACCUUUCAGAUGUCUGGGGCUGAAAAGCCCCAGCGUUUGCCCUUUACACUAAAACACAGUCUUUGAAUGUUAUAUAAACUUAACAAAUACAACUUUCAACAACGGAUCUCUUGGCUCUCGCAUCGAUGAAGAACGCAGCGAAAUGCGAUAAGUAAUGUGAAUUGCAGAAUUCAGUGAAUCAUCGAAUCUUUGAACGCACCUUGCGCUCCAUGGUAUUCCAUGGAGCAUGCCUGUUUGAGUGUCACGUGAAACUAUCACUCUUGUCCUGUCGCAAGACAAGUCAGGAUGUGGACUUGGACUGUGCCGUAGUUGGCUCGUCUUGAAAUGCAUUAGCCGUGCUGGUUAGAAUCGGCCACCUGGUGUGAUAUAUGUCUACGCCUACCGUGCUGUUUCUUCCUGAGUGUGGCUUAUAAUCGUCGCUUGUUCGACAAUACAAAUUAACGCUCUGGCCUCAAAUCAGGUAGGACUACCCGCUGAACUUAAGCAUAUCAAUAAGCGGAGGA